GACGAACGCUUGCGGCGUGCUUAACACAUGCAAGUCGAACGGAAAGGCCCUGCUUUUGCGGGGUGCUCGAGUGGCGAACGGGUGAGUAACACGUGAGUAACCUGCCCUUGACUUUGGGAUAACUUCAGGAAACUGGGGCUAAUACCGGAUAGGAGCUCCUGCUGCAUGGUGGGGGUUGGAAAGUUUCGGCGGUUGGGGAUGGACUCGCGGCUUAUCAGCUUGUUGGUGGGGUAGUGGCUUACCAAGGCUUUGACGGGUAGCCGGCCUGAGAGGGUGACCGGCCACAUUGGGACUGAGAUACGGCCCAGACUCCUACGGGAGGCAGCAGUGGGGAAUAUUGCACAAUGGGCGGAAGCCUGAUGCAGCAACGCCGCGUGCGGGAUGACGGCCUUCGGGUUGUAAACCGCUUUCGCCUGUGACGAAGCGUGAGUGACGGUAAUGGGUAAAGAAGCACCGGCUAACUACGUGCCAGCAGCCGCGGUGAUACGUAGGGUGCGAGCGUUGUCCGGAUUUAUUGGGCGUAAAGGGCUCGUAGGUGGUUGAUCGCGUCGGAAGUGUAAUCUUGGGGCUUAACCCUGAGCGUGCUUUCGAUACGGGUUGACUUGAGGAAGGUAGGGGAGAAUGGAAUUCCUGGUGGAGCGGUGGAAUGCGCAGAUAUCAGGAGGAACACCAGUGGCGAAGGCGGUUCUCUGGGCCUUUCCUGACGCUGAGGAGCGAAAGCGUGGGGAGCGAACAGGCUUAGAUACCCUGGUAGUCCACGCUGUAAACGGUGGGUACUAGGUGUGGGGUCCAUUCCACGGGUUCCGUGCCGUAGCUAACGCUUUAAGUACCCCGCCUGGGGAGUACGGCCGCAAGGCUAAAACUCAAAGGAAUUGACGGGGCCCCGCACAAGCGGCGGAGCAUGCGGAUUAAUUCGAUGCAACGCGUAGAACCUUACCUGGGUUUGACAUGGAUCGGGAGUGCUCAGAGAUGGGUGUGCCUCUUUUGGGGUCGGUUCACAGGUGGUGCAUGGCUGUCGUCAGCUCGUGUCGUGAGAUGUUGGGUUAAGUCCCGCAACGAGCGCAACCCUUGUUCACUGUUGCCAGCACGUUAUGGUGGGGACUCAGUGGAGACCGCCGGGGUCAACUCGGAGGAGGGUGGGGAUGACGUCAAGUCAUCAUGCCCCUUAUGUCCAGGGCUUCACGCAUGCUACAAUGGCUGGUACAGAGAGUGGCGAGCCUGUGAGGGUGAGCGAAUCUCGGAAAGCCGGUCUCAGUUCGGAUUGGGGUCUGCAACUCGACCUCAUGAAGUCGGAGUCGCUAGUAAUCGCAGAUCAGCAACGCUGCGGUGAAUACGUUCCCGGGGCU
RNAcentral lists this ribosomal RNA (1346 nucleotides) under uncultured bacterium. RNAcentral's name for it is "partial 16S ribosomal RNA". It matches the Rfam family "Bacterial small subunit ribosomal RNA", at positions 28 to 1381 of the family's 1533-position model. The record is from RNAcentral.